UAAUAUUUAGAGCUUUCCUUGCAUUUGGUCCCUCAAAAAAAUUAUUUUUAUAAAAGACUCCAUCAAAUUUAUAAUUAUAAUUUUGGUCUUAUUCCUAUCACGCAGAUGCUACGUAAGUGCCAUAUAAACAAGGAGAGGUGUUAAAAUAAGUUGAACACAGUAAUCCAUUUAUCGUGUCUAAACACAAUGAAUGGUUCACCGUGUUUGAAAAAAAAUAUAAAUAUAUGUAUUGCGAAAAAAUAUAAGUAUUGAAAAGAGAGAAUAGAGAAAAUAUAAGUACAAAACACAAUGAAUGAUUCACUGGGUCUUGAAAAAAUAUAUGUAUUGCAAAAAAAUAUUAGCAGAAAAAAAAAAUAUAAGUAUGGAACACGGUGAACCAUUCACCGUAUUUAACUUAAGGUGUUGAUGUGGCGCUUGCGUGGCGGGGAUAGGACCGAAUUUAUAAUUAUAAAUUUGAUGAGAUUAUUUAUAAAAAAAAAAUUAAGGAGACCUAAUGCAAAAAAGUGCUCUAAUAUUUAAAUUUUAUAGAGCAAUACUAUAUGUGCAUUUUGAAGGCCCGUAAAUCUUACACCCUUUUUAUCUAAAAAUUAAUUUUCCUUUCUUAUCUUGCUAGUUUUUCUAAAAAUUAUAUAUUAAAAAAUUAGAAAAAUUUACAAAUCUUAAAAUGAGGAUUGUAUGACAUACAUGUAUUUAUUAAAAUAAACAAUCAGCUUAAAUUUUACUAGUGAAAUACCCGCGCGAUACUGCAGAUUUAAAAAUUUUUUUAAUAAAUUUUAAUUUUUUAUAUUUUUAAAUAAUUUUAUAAGUCUAAUUAUUAAUUAAAUAAAAAUUAUAUAAAAAUAAUUUAAUAGUUAAUUUUAUUUAAAUAAAAUUUAUUAAAACGAUAACUUAUUUUAUAAAGAUUUAUGAGAAAAAAGAUUUGAGAUAAAUAUAUCAAAAUAAUUUAAAAAAAAUAAAUAGAAGGGAAAUAAAAUAAUGGAAGAAUUUGUUUAAUAAAAUUAAUUAUAUAUAUACACACAUGCACUAUAUUUCUAAAAUCUUACUCAAAUUUAAAUUAUGUAUUUUUUAAUACAUCGAUCAAAUUAGAUUUUAUUAUGCGAUUUAUUACGUGUAUUAUUAACAAUAUUAAUUAAUUAUAUUAUACACAAUGAAUUUAUUAAUAAAAUUAAUUAAUUAAUUUUAUAGAGUUUAGAGAUUUAAAAUUUUAAAUUUUGAAGUUUAAAAUUUGAAAAUAAAUAUUAUAAAUUAAAUUUUAAAUUUUAAAUUUUAAAUUUUGAUACCAAUAUAUAUAUAUAG
Molecule: long non-coding RNA, 1296 nt
Filed under: Ananas comosus (pineapple)
Lineage: Eukaryota; Viridiplantae; Streptophyta; Magnoliopsida; Poales; Bromeliaceae
Description: long non-coding RNA (ACOM_LNC035549)
Source: RNAcentral